Molecule: long non-coding RNA, 203 nt
Filed under: Gossypium barbadense (sea-island cotton)
Lineage: Eukaryota; Viridiplantae; Streptophyta; Magnoliopsida; Malvales; Malvaceae
Description: long non-coding RNA (GBAR_LNC022724)
Source: RNAcentral
UAGAAUGUCGUGUCCUAACGUAUUGGGUGUGGUAUUUUCUUUCUCUGAAGUGAUAAGGGUCUUAAUACGUAACGUUUUUAAGUUUUUGCUAAAGAUUAUGUUUUUUCAAAUUUUCGACAUUAAGACAUUAAUUAAUUAACUAGGUACCAAUUUUUGGGCGUAAUGAGGGUGCUAAUCCUUCCUCAUACGUAACUGACUCCCGG